UACGUAGGGUGCGAGCGUUGUCCGGAAUUAUUGGGCGUAAAGGGCUCGUAGGCGGUCCAUCGCGUCGGGAGUGAAAAGCUGGGGCUUAACCCCAGUCCUGCUUCCGAUACGGGUGGACUAGAGGUAGGUAGGGGAGAUCGGAAUUCCUGGUGUAGCGGUGAAAUGCGCAGAUAUCAGGAGGAACACCAAUAGCGAAGGCAGCUCGCUGGGACGGUACUGACGCUAAGGCGCGAAAGCGUGGGGAGCGAACAGG
Molecule: ribosomal RNA, 253 nt
Filed under: uncultured bacterium
Lineage: Bacteria
Description: partial 16S ribosomal RNA
Rfam family: Bacterial small subunit ribosomal RNA
Source: RNAcentral